CGUCGACUCUGUUUGGAGUCGGGAUCACUUAAGUGUCGUUGUUACCAAAUUCGUCUUUGGGUCUGUUCUUCGCUAAUGAGCAGUGGGAGUAUUUCCUUUGAUUUUGCUAUUGGAAUUUGGUAACGAGCGUGUUAAGGUCUACGUUUAGUUAGAGACUCACUAAGGCUUUGCAAAGAUAUGACAUCUGUACCAUUUCAUGAAACUACGCUUGUGAGAAAUAGGUAAACAUUCUCCAGCCAGAAAGUUACUCAAAAUACUGAAGAAAAACUAGGCUGUUGAUUGGAGUAAUUGGAACCCUGGUGUUAAGGUACUCCGGUGUUCGUUGCUUUUACAAGACCAUAUAUUUAAAUGACAGGAGCCUGGUGUUAACUGAUAUACUGCGUUUGAUGCCAAAAGUUCUUUAAAGGAUGUAAUUAAAGAUUUUAAAUAAAUAUCACUUGUAAAUAUGAACGUGCUUCCCUUUACCAAUAGACAUCUUAUACUGGUUUUAGUUCCAUAAUAUUAGAAACUAAUUGAAUGCCACUCAGUAGGAUAGGAGGCUUAAUCUUUAGUGGGGCAUCAUGACUGUCGUGCAUAUUUUGGUGGCGUCCCCUAAUUUUGAAAACUAACGUAGCUUGUUUGCUGGUAAACAACACUUGCCGAUAUUUUAGGUGAAGGUGCUCAGGCAUAGCAAAUUGGUUAAGUAACAUUUUUAAGAAAUCUUAAUAUUUUAAGAAUUAUAAUUUUAUUUUUUAAUUAUUUU
Macrobrachium nipponense is the source of this 742-nucleotide long non-coding RNA. RefSeq lists it as uncharacterized. The transcript is spliced from 3 exons. The record is from RefSeq and is a predicted model, not a curated record. Lineage: Eukaryota; Metazoa; Arthropoda; Malacostraca; Decapoda; Palaemonidae.